AGUCACUUUCCCUUCGGGGCAUUGGAGACAGGUGGUGCAUGGUUGUCGUCAGCUCGUGUCGUGAGAUGUUGGGUUAAGUCCCGCAACGAGCGCAACCCCUAUUUCCAGUAGCCAGCAAGAAAGAUGGGAACUCUGGAGAGACUGCCCGGGAUAACUGGGAGGAAGGCGGGGAUGACGUCAAAUCAUCAUGCCCCUUAUGAUCAGGGCUACACACGUGCUACAAUGGCGUAAACAAAGGGAAGCGAAGUGGUGACACGAAGCAAAUCCGAAAAACAACGUCUCAGUUCGGAUUGUAGUCUGCAACUCGACUACAUGAAGCUGGAAUCGCUAGUAAUCGCGAAUCAGAAUGUCGCGGUGAAUACGUUCCCGGGUCUUGUACACACCGCCCGUCACACCAUGGGAGUCGGAAAUGCCCGAAGUCAGUGACCCAACCGAGAGGAGGGAGCUGCCGAAGGUGGAGCCGGUAACUGGGGUGAAGUCGUAACAAGGUAGCCGUAUCGGAAGGUGCGG
Molecule: ribosomal RNA, 510 nt
Filed under: uncultured bacterium
Lineage: Bacteria
Description: bacterial SSU rRNA
Rfam family: Bacterial small subunit ribosomal RNA
Source: RNAcentral